GGAUAAUGCAUUAAAAAGAAGGAGAAAAUCUUUUGAAAUGGAAACACACAUCCCCUUUCUCUUCCUAUUCAGUAAAUUGCUCAAAACAGGGCAUUCAGACGGAAAAUGGAGAAGCAAUCCGGUGCCACUCCCAGAGUCGACGCCCAGAAGAGCCGGCUGGGUCUGCGAGGAGCAACAGAGGAAUCGGUUCACAGGCCGCUGCUGCUGGAAGGUCCCCGGCGCCUCACAGCUUUAAACUGAAAGGUCACUGCUACCCGGAAGGAGGCAGGUGUCUCGUGCCAGUAGCCAUGCAACUGUGUCAAGCUAACUCGUUUCCUUGCAAAUAUGGUGAAAUCUCAGGUCUGUUUUUGACAGAAUAUGACUGAUAACAGAGGGCACCUCGACAUUCUCAGGGUUUGAGCCCCUUUGAGACUCUGAUGAGAGCUGGGGAUGCUCCUCACACAGUAAUUCCAUGCAGAUUUCCACAGAACAAGUGUAUGGACCCUCUGGAGCUGAUGGAAUUACCCUCUGACUGCUUCAGCCUCCUUUUUAGACUAUCCUUUGUAUCUUCAUUCUGAGAGUUAACUGUAAUAAGUCCUGUAGGAGCUGAAUAACUGUGAGAACCCUGGACAUGCCUGGAUACCACGGUGCGCAGAGUGGCACGCAUCGGGAACGAUGGGUGGCCUCUGGUAGCUAAGCACCUCAGUCCUACAACCACAUGGAACUGAGUCUUUCUGAAGAGCGAGCUAGCAAGAGGACACUCAGCCUCAAAUAUAGCAGCACCAGCUCCUCUCUGCUUUUAGCCUGCCCAGUGGACCCACUUAAUAUCUGUGGAAUUCUGGCCCCAUGGAUGUUGUGACGUAUAUUUGUUUAAAGCUGCUAAGUCCUCUAUAAUUUAUCAUGCAAUGCUAUGAAACUGAUACAUUCAGCAACUACAUUUAAAAGCUUAGUGUGCACUUUAUCAUAUUGUAGAAUUAAUCAACAGAUUAGAGUUCAGCCAGAUUAUGUAACUUGAACAUUUUAACAUUGUAACAUUCUGUUAAACUACUAAUAAAGCCUAAGAGUAUUC
This is a long non-coding RNA of Chinchilla lanigera (long-tailed chinchilla), 1048 nucleotides long. RefSeq lists it as uncharacterized. Lineage: Eukaryota; Metazoa; Chordata; Mammalia; Rodentia; Chinchillidae. The transcript is spliced from 5 exons. The record is from RefSeq and is a predicted model, not a curated record.